UACGUAGGGCGCAAGCGUUGUCCGGAAUUAUUGGGCGUAAAGAGCUCGUAGGCGGCCUGUUACGUCUGCUGUGAAAUCCCGGGGCUUAACCCCGGGCGUGCAGUGGAUACGGGCAGGCUGGAGGCAGGCAGGGGAGAACGGAAUUCCCGGUGUAGCGGUGAAAUGCGCAGAUAUCGGGAGGAACACCGGUGGCGAAGGCGGUUCUCUGGGCCUGUACUGACGCUCAUGCACGAAAGCGUGGGGAGCAAACAGG
This 253-nucleotide ribosomal RNA is filed under the name uncultured bacterium. RNAcentral's name for it is "partial 16S ribosomal RNA". It matches the Rfam family "Bacterial small subunit ribosomal RNA", at positions 524 to 776 of the family's 1533-position model. The record is from RNAcentral.